Molecule: ribosomal RNA, 384 nt
Filed under: Protodrilus sp.
Lineage: Eukaryota; Metazoa; Annelida; Polychaeta; Protodrilidae
Description: partial small subunit ribosomal RNA
Rfam family: Eukaryotic small subunit ribosomal RNA
Source: RNAcentral
AGCUCCAAUAGCGUAUAUUAAAGUUGUUGCAGUUAAAAAGCUCGUAGUUGGAUCUUGGGUGACGACUGGGCGGUCCUACGCAAGUGGUGUACUUCCCGGUGGUACCUUGUCUCCAUAUUGGUGCCCGCGUCCUUCACUGGGCGUUGGUCUCGAUGUGGACGUUUACUUUGAAGAAAUUAGAGUGUUCAAAGCAGGCUAGUGCUUGAAUAAUGGUGCAUGGAAUAAUGGAAUAUGACCGUCGUCUUAUUUUGUUGGUUCGAAAGAUCGGUGGUAAUGAUUAAGAGGGACGGACGGGGGCGUUCGUAUUGCGCCGUUAGAGGUGAAAUUCUUGGAUCGGCGCAAGACGAACUACAGCGAAAGCAUUCGCCAAGAACGUUUUCAUUA